This 420-nucleotide ribosomal RNA is filed under the name Triticum aestivum (bread wheat). RNAcentral describes it as "partial small subunit ribosomal RNA". Lineage: Eukaryota; Viridiplantae; Streptophyta; Magnoliopsida; Poales; Poaceae. The record is from RNAcentral.
AUGGAUCAACACCGCCAAUUCAAAGCCCGCCACAGGAAAACUACAUCUACAUUCGGAAGAAGAAAUCAAAAUAGACAAGAGGGAUCCACCGCUAAAUUUACAUGUGCAACAAAAAACACCACACACGACAAAUGCAAGCAGACGAAUACAACAAGACAAUCAACCAGAUCUAGCAAAUCGCACAGAAAAAUGAAAGGGAAAAUGAAAAAGGGGGGAGGGGGUGCUUGCAAACCAACAACCUCAGGUAGGGGACGGGGGGAGAGACGCAGGGCUUGCGGACCACCACGAAAGAAGGAGCGUCACGAAUCAAACGACCCGAGAAGAAACCGCAGCCAAAUCGCCAUGGCGUCGACUUGGCCUCUCCCGCUCUCCCUGACAAGAACAAAGGUGAAUCAAAUCAGAGCGCGAGCUUGGAGAUAA